CCUACGGGAGGCAGCAGUGAGGAAUAUUGGUCAAUGGACGAGAGUCUGAACCAGCCAAGUAGCGUGAAGGAUGACUGCCCUAUGGGUUGUAAACUUCUUUUAUAUGGGAAUAAAAUGUUCCACGUGUGGGAUUUUGUAUGUACCAGAUGAAUAAGGAUCGGCUAACUCCGUGCCAGCAGCCGCGGUAAUACGGAGGAUCCGAGCGUUAUCCGGAUUUAUUGGGUUUAAAGGGUGCGUAGGUGGAUUGUUAAGUCAGUUGUGAAAGUUUGCGGCUCAACCGUAACAUUGCAGUUGAAACUGGCAGUCUUGAGUACAGUAGAGGUGGGCGGAAUGCGUGGUGUAGCGGUGAAAUGCUUAGAUAUCACGCAGAACUCCGAUUGCGAAGGCAGUUCACUGGACUGCAACUGACACUGAGGCUCGAAAGUGUGGGUAUCAAACAGGAUUAGAUACCCUUGUAGUC
RNAcentral lists this ribosomal RNA (460 nucleotides) under uncultured bacterium. Its description in RNAcentral is "partial 16S ribosomal RNA". It matches the Rfam family "Bacterial small subunit ribosomal RNA", at positions 338 to 795 of the family's 1533-position model. The record is from RNAcentral.